RNAcentral lists this ribosomal RNA (1972 nucleotides) under human gut metagenome. Its description in RNAcentral is "bacterial LSU rRNA". It matches the Rfam family "Bacterial large subunit ribosomal RNA", at positions 1 to 2004 of the family's 2925-position model. The record is from RNAcentral.
GAAAGUAAGCAAGGGCGUACGGGGGAUGCCUAGGCUCUUGGAGGCGAAGAAGGACGUGUUAAGCUGCGAAAAGCUGCGGGGAUUUGCAAAAGAGAGUUGAUCCGCAGAUAUCCGAAUGGGGCAACCCGGCAGAUAGGAGAUCUGUCACAUCGAGAGAUGAGCGAACCCUAUGAACUGAAACAUCUAAGUAAUAGGAGGAGGAGAAAGAAACAUCGAUUUCCCGAGUAGUGGCGAGCGAAAAGGAAAUAGCCCAAACCGGUGUUGUUACGGCAACGUCGGGGUUGUAGGACUGCGAAAUCUUAAUACGAACGAACGGGAACAUGCUGGAAAGCGUGACCAUAGAGGGUGAAAGUCCCGUACCGGUAAGUUGCGUAAGCGGAAGCAGUAUCCUGAGUAUGGCGGGACACGAGGAAUCCUGUCAGAAACCGCGGGGACCACCCCGCAAGGCUAAAUACUCCCAAGAGACCGAUAGUGGACCAGUACCGUGAGGGAAAGGUGAAAAGUACCCCGAACAGGGGAGUGAAAAAGAACCUGAAACCGUACGCUUACAACCUGUCGGAGCGGCUUAGUGCCGUGACGGCGUGCCUUUUGCAUAAUGAGCCUACGAGUUACUAAUCACUAGCGAGGUUAAGGGCUAUAAGGUCCGGAGCCGAAGCGAAAGCGAGUCUGAAUAGGGCGCAAAGUUAGUGGUUGUAGACGCGAAACCUUGCGAUCUACCCAUGAGCAGGAUGAAAGUUGGGUAAAACCACCUGGAGGUCCGCACCGGUAAACGUUGAAAAGUUUUCGGAUGACUUGUGGGUAGGGGUGAAAGGCUAAUCAAGCUGGGAAAUAGCUCGUACUCCCCGAAAUGCUUUUAGGAGCAGCGUUUUAAUAGUCUACUGGAGGUAGAGCUACUGAUUGGAUGCGGGGGCUUCACCGCCUACCAAAUCCUGACAAACUCCGAAUGCCAGUAGAAUGAUUUAGAGCAGUGAGCGGCUGGGUGCUAAUGUCCGGCCACGAGAGAGGAACAACUCAGACCAGCAGCUAAGGCCCCGAAGAGUAUACUAAGUUGAACUAACGAUGUGCGACUGCAGCGACAGCUAGGAUGUUAGCUUGGAAGCAGCUAUUCAUUUAAAGAGUGCGUAACAGCUCACUAGUCGAGCGGUUGUGCGUGGAUAAUAAACGGGCAUCAAGUAUACCGCCGAAGCUCUGGGAUCUACGGAUCGGUAGGGGAGCAUUCCAUUCGCGUCGAAGUUGUAGCGUGAGCUAUGGUGGAGCGUAUGGAAAAGCAAAUGUAGGCAUAAGUAACGAUAAGGCGGGCGAGAAACCCGCCCACCGCAAGACCAAGGUUUCCUGAUCAACGCUAAUCGGAUCAGGGUUAGUCGGGUCCUAAGGGUAAGCCGUUAGGUGAUCUCGAUGGACAAUCGGUUAAUAUUCCGAUACCGAUGCAUACUGCGACGGAGGGACGGAGAAGCGUAAGCUGCGCCAACAUACGGAAUUGUUGGUUAAAGAGCGUAGGUAUAGGACGACGUUAAUAGCGACGUUUUGCUGAAACUCGACAGUACCGAGCGGCUACGGCCAAUCGGAUAGUCAGCCCAAGCAAGCUUCCGAGAAAAACUUCUAAGCUUCAGGUAUGCAUCGCCCGUACCGUAAACCGACACAGGUGGUCGAGGAGAGUAUCCUCAGGUGCUUGAGUGAAUCACGGAUAAGGAACUAGGCAAAUUGACCCCGUAACUUAGGGAUAAGGGGUCCCCACGUGAGUGGGGCGCAGCGAAAAGGUCCAGGCAACUGUUUAACAAAAACAUAGGGCUAUGCUAAUUCGAGAGAAGACGUAUAUGGCCUGACACCUGCCCGGUGCUGGAAGGUUAAGAGGGGAUGUUAGCGCAAGCGAAGCAUUGAAUCGAAGCCCCAGUAAACGGCGGCCGUAACUAUAACGGUCCUAAGGUAGCGAAAUUCCUUGUCGGGUAAGUUCCGACCUGCACGAAUGGUGUAA